GUGCAGCAGGCGAGAAUAGUCUACAAUGGACGAAAGUCUGAUAGUGCGACGCCGUGUGUGCGAUUAAUUCCUUCGGGAUGUAAAGCACUUUUCUAUGAGAUAAAAGCUCUUUAGGUUAAUAGCUUAUUGAGACGGAUAUUAUUAUAGGAAUAAGCUCCGGCUAACUCCGUGCCAGCAGCCGCGGUAAUACGGAAGGAGCGAGCGUUGUCCGGAUUUACUAGGCGUAAAGGGCUAGUAGGCGACUAAUUAAGUUAUAUGUUAAAUCCCACGGCUCAACUGUGGUCCUGCAUGUAAUACUGGUUAGAUAGAGUACUGUAGAGGAAGGCAGAAUUCCUGGAGUAGCGGUGGAAUGCGCAGAUAUCAGGAAGAAUACCAAAAGCGAAGGCAGCCUUCUGGGCAGUUACUGACACUGAAUAGCGAAGGUGUGGGUAGCGAAC
Molecule: ribosomal RNA, 437 nt
Filed under: uncultured microorganism
Description: bacterial SSU rRNA
Rfam family: Bacterial small subunit ribosomal RNA
Source: RNAcentral